This 253-nucleotide ribosomal RNA is filed under the name uncultured bacterium. RNAcentral describes it as "partial 16S ribosomal RNA". It matches the Rfam family "Bacterial small subunit ribosomal RNA", at positions 524 to 776 of the family's 1533-position model. The record is from RNAcentral.
UACGAGGGGGGCAAGCGUUGUUCGGAAUUAUUGGGCGUAAAGGGCGCGUAGGCGGUGCGGUAAGUCUGUUGUGAAAUCUCCGGGCUCAACUCGGAGCUUGCAUCAGAAACUGCCGUGCUUGAGUGUGGGAGAGGUGAGUGGAAUUCCCGGUGUAGCGGUGAAAUGCGUAGAUAUCAGGAGGAACACCAAUGGCGAAGGCAGCUCGCUGGGACGGUACUGACGCUGAGACGCGAAAGCGUGGGGAGCAAACAGG